GUGAAUCAUCGAAUUUUUGAACGCAAAUUGCACUCUUUGGUACUCCGGAGAGUAUGCCUGUUUGAGGGUCAGUUUAAAUAUAAACCGGUGUGGUUGCUGACUUUUGUGGUGACGCACCGGAUUUGGGUCGUCUUGCUUUUGGUUAAGUGACCUAAAAUUUGGCAUGAUUUUUUUCGAACGUAUUUAAAUGAUUUUACGUAGGUUUGCGAUAUCGAAUACUAGGUGUGGUUAUACUC
RNAcentral lists this unclassified non-coding RNA (236 nucleotides) under Glomeraceae sp. Its description in RNAcentral is "partial contains 5.8S ribosomal RNA and internal transcribed spacer 2". The stretch from base 1 to 71 matches the Rfam family "5.8S ribosomal RNA", at positions 84 to 154 of the family's 154-position model. The record is from RNAcentral. Lineage: Eukaryota; Fungi; Glomeromycota; Glomeromycetes; Glomerales; Glomeraceae.